Molecule: ribosomal RNA, 922 nt
Filed under: Nematoda environmental sample
Lineage: Eukaryota; Metazoa; Nematoda
Description: bacterial SSU rRNA
Rfam family: Eukaryotic small subunit ribosomal RNA
Source: RNAcentral
UGCGAAUGGCUCAUUACAACAGCCACUGUUCACUUGGUCUACUUAUCCUACUUGGAUAACUGCGGUAAUCCUGGAGCUAAUACAUGCCAAAACGCUGGCCAGAAAUGGCUGGUGGCAGAUAUUAGAACAAAACCAAUCGGCUUCGGCCGUAAGUUUGUGACUCUGAGUAUCUUCGCUGAUCGCACGGUCUCGUACCGGCGACGCACCUUUCAAGUGUCUGCCUUAUCAACUUUCGAUGGUAGUUUAUGUGACUACCAUGGUUGUAACGGGUAACGGAGAAUAAGGGUUCAACUCCGGAGAGGGAGCCUGAGAAACGGCUACCACAUCCAAGGAAGGCAGCAGGCGCGCAAAUUACCCACUCUCAGCACGAGGAGGUAGUGACGAAAAAUAACGAGUCGGUUCUCUUUGAGGCCCGAUAUCGGAAUGGGUACAAUCUAAACCCUUUAACGAGGACCUAUGAGAGGGCAAGUCUGGUGCCAGCAGCCGCGGUAAUUCCAGCUCUCAAGGUGUAUAUCGCCAUUGCUGCGGUUAAAAAGCUCGUAGUUGGAUCUGCGCCUGUGGAAGUGGUGCGCCCAAGUGGUGUCUACUGCUAUCCCGGGCUAAUCUGCCGGUUUUCGUGCGGUGCUCUUCACUGGGUGCCGUGCGUGGCUGGCGAGUUUACUUUGAAGAAAUUAGAGUGCUCAAAACAGGCGUUUCGCCUGAAUAGUUGUGCAUGGAAUAAUAGAACAGGACCUCGGUCCGUUUUGUUGGUUUCGGAACUGAGAUAAUGGUUAAGAGGGACUGCUGGGGGCAUUCGUAUCGCUGCGUGAGAGGUGAAAUUCUUGGACCGUAGCGAGACGCCCUACUGCGAAAGCAUUUGCCAAGAAUGUCUUCAUUAAUCAAGAACGAAAGUCAGAGGUUCGAAGGCGAUCAGAUACCGCCC